RNAcentral lists this ribosomal RNA (603 nucleotides) under Inocybe lanuginosa var. ovatocystis. RNAcentral describes it as "eukaryotic LSU rRNA". It matches the Rfam family "Eukaryotic large subunit ribosomal RNA", at positions 72 to 653 of the family's 3401-position model. The record is from RNAcentral. Lineage: Eukaryota; Fungi; Basidiomycota; Agaricomycetes; Agaricales; Inocybaceae.
AGAUUCUCCCUUCCUGCGAGUGAGAGGGAAAGUCAAAUUUUUAAUCUGGGGGUGGUUUCUUCCGUCCGAGUUGUAAUCUAGAGAAGUGCUACCUGUGCUGGAGCGUGUACAAGUCUUCUGGAAUGGAGCAUCAUAGAGGGUGAGAAUCCCGUCUUUGACAUGGACUGCCUGUGCGUUAUGGUGCGCUCUCGAAGAGUCGAGUUGUUUGGGAAUGCAUGUCAAUCUGGGUGGUAAGUGCCAUCCAAAGCUAAAUAUUGGCGAGAGACCGACCGCGAACAAAUACCGAGAGGGAAAGAAAAAUAAAACUUUCGAAAGAGAGUUAAACAGUCAGUGAAAUUGCUUAAAGGGAAACGCUUGAAGUCAGUCCCGUUGGCUAGAAAUCAGCCUUGCUUUUGCUUGGUGUAUUUUCCGGUUCGAUGGGUCAGCAUCAAUUUCGAUCAUUGGAUAAACUCGGGUGGAAUGUGGCAUCUUAUGACGGGUUAUAACCCGUCGCCCCCUCCAGUGGUUGGGAUUGAAAGAACACAACCCCCCACAAGGCCCGGUCUUUUGACCACGUUCAUGCUUAUGAUGCUGGCAUAACGGCUUUAAUCGCCCUCACCCCUC